This 184-nucleotide ribosomal RNA is filed under the name uncultured bacterium. RNAcentral describes it as "partial 16S ribosomal RNA". It matches the Rfam family "Bacterial small subunit ribosomal RNA", at positions 1316 to 1500 of the family's 1533-position model. The record is from RNAcentral.
CUGCGUGAAGUUGGAAUCGCUAGUAAUCGCGGAUCAGCAUGCCGCGGUGAAUACGUUCCCGGGCCUUGUACACACCGCCCGUCACACCAUGAGAGUCGGGAACACCCGAAGUCCGUAGCCUAACCGCAAGGGGGCGCGGCCGAAGGUGGGUUCGAUAAUUGGGGUGAAGUCGUAACAAGGUAUC